Molecule: ribosomal RNA, 235 nt
Filed under: uncultured Glomus
Lineage: Eukaryota; Fungi; Glomeromycota; Glomeromycetes; Glomerales; Glomeraceae
Description: partial 18S ribosomal RNA
Rfam family: Eukaryotic small subunit ribosomal RNA
Source: RNAcentral
UUGGAGGGCAAGUCUGGUGCCAGCAGCCGCGGUAAUUCCAGCUCCAAUAGCGUAUAUUAAAGUUGUUGCAGUUAAAAAGCUCGUAGUUGAAUUUUGGAUUUGGCUGGUUGGUCGGCCGUAAGGUCUGUACUCUUCUGGCUAAAUCUUUCCUUCUGGAGGACUAUCAUGCCAUUUAUUUGGUGUGGUAGCGAUCCAGGAUUUUUACCUUGAAAAAAUUAGAGUGUUUAAAGCAGGC